This is a long non-coding RNA of Phyllostomus discolor (pale spear-nosed bat), 2873 nucleotides long. RefSeq lists it as uncharacterized. NCBI's taxonomy places the organism in Eukaryota, Metazoa, Chordata, Mammalia, Chiroptera, Phyllostomidae. The transcript is spliced from 2 exons. The record is from RefSeq and is a predicted model, not a curated record.
AAGCUCAGGAGUAGUGAUGCUGGCAGUUUGGAUAUGCCUAAGAGAAGCCAUAAAGUUGUGUGUAUAUGUAUAAGAAAAAAGAAACACAGUAUAUACAGGGUUCAGUCAUAUCUGUGGUUUCAGACAUCCCCUGGGGGGCUUGGCACGUAUCCCCUGUGCGUAAGCAGAGACUUCUGUACGUGUCACUCCGGAACAGGCAAAACUAUGGAGACAGUAAAAAGAUCAGCAGCGGCCAAGUGUUGCAGGGUGGGUGGGGGAGAGGAUGGAGAGGGAGGGAGAAGUGGAGCACAGAGGACUUUCAGGGCAGUGAAAAAUACUCUGUUUGACACUAUAAUGGUGGGUACAUGUCAUUAUGUUUCACAAAAGUGAGCCCUCCUAUAAACUAUGGGCUCUGGAUAAUUACAUUGUGUCAUCAUAGUCUCAUCGAUUGUAACAAAGGUGCCACAGUGUUGGGGGAUGUUAAGGAUGGCGGAGGCUCUGCACGUGUGAAGGCAGGGAGUAUAUGGGGAAUCUCUGCAUCUUCUGCUCAGUUUUGCUGUAAACCCAAAAAGUGCUCUAAAAAUAGUCCUUAAAAUAAAGUGUCAGUUUGUAUGGUACUCACCACAAACUACCAUAUGCUGGGGAACUUAUUUGAAACGUGACAAAGAGUAUUAUGACAAGAUAUUAUGAGCCUUAAUCAUCCUCUCUUUUAAACAUUUAAUAGUCACCUCUAAAUGUCACAUCAUAAUGCUUUAUAAAGAACAUUUAUUACUUGCAUUAAUUAUGGAUUUUAUGGCAGACAGGGCUCACUGUCUAUAAAAUACCUGCUGUCCUUCCCCUUUACCAGAGAAUCUUGAUUUAGUUUGGAGUGGGAAUGGGUCCAGCCCCGAUCCCACACAGUUUGUAAGAUGUUUGAUUUCCUUCCUCUUCUGCAACUGGGGAUACUCCCAUGAUCCAGGUCUGGCCAAUCACACUGAAGCAGGAGACUGCUUGGCAGAGGGGGAGGAGACUGGGAUAACCACGCCCACCAAACCUACCUCCAACGGGACCAGUGCAUCCACUAGACCUCUGCCUAUCAUCCUGCAACAGAAAGACUAAGCACUUUCCAAGACACCACUAUAAUUUUUACCCAUUAUGUUCAUCACCCAAUCAGAAAUAUGAAACAUGCUAUCAUACGGAACAACAAACUGGAGACAAAGGAAAAUAGAAGUCAACAGGAAACAGGUCCAGAGAGGACUCAGACAUUGUAGUCUGCAGACAGGAUAUUAAGAUAAGUACGGGUAACACAUCAAGAAGGCGGAGGGAAAGAUGGAGAACUGCAGGAGAGACUCAGAAUCCACCCACAUUGUUAAAUAGAAGUCUGAGAACUGAUACACACAAGAGCAAAGCGAACAAUUUGUUGGAUGGCUGGAAAUAAAAGAUCACAAACAGUAGGGUGGCAGCGUGGAGGACAUGUCUGCGGAAAGGACACCUAUUUGUUCGUGAAGAAAAAGAACACAAAAGAGACAUCAGAUGAAAGGAAAUUUCUCACAUCCAUGCACUUAAAAUUCUACUGUGAGAGGAUCAAUAUGAAUCCUAUUUGAAUUAGAAAAGAACAGCAAAUCAAACCCAAUAGAAAGUAGAGGGGAGGCAAUCAAAUAUAACAGCAAAAUCCUAAGAAACAGAAAAUACAAAAAUUAUGUUUGGAAAAAGCAAUAAAGUUGUUAAAUGUCUAGCAACACUAAUCCAGAAAAAGAGCAGAAAAUCAAUCGUAUCAUAUAACCACACACACUGUAUCACAAAGCAAAUCAUGGAGUUUCAUUUUUAUGGACUACUAUACAAUAAACCAUCUCAAAAGUCAGUGGCUUAAAAUGAUAAUCCCUGAUUGUCUCUCCUGUUUCUGGAAGUUUCUGGAUUUCAGCUGAUUAGGCUGUGCCCAGUUAGGAGGCUAAGACAAAUGUAUCAACAGAGGAGGAGAGAAAGGAAAAACGGGGCCACGAUUAAAUCGACCACCACUGUCCACUACUUUAUGCCCAUAAAUAUUAUGAUACAGGAGAUGUACAAAUCACUUGAAAAAUAAGAGAAAACUGAAAGAAGAAAUAAUAAAUAUGAAUAGUCCUAUAUUAAAUAAUUUAAAUGUGAAAUUCAUCAUUGUUUUUUCACAAAAACAGUUCCUGGUAAGAAUGGCUUUCCAGAAUUCUUCCAAACAUUGAACAAAGGAAUAAUGCAAAUGUUGUAUAAAUACUUUUACAAAAUAGAAUGAGAUGGGACUGCCUGUUUCAUUUUUGAGGUUUUUGUGAACUUGAUAAGUACAACUGACAAGGUCAUUGUAAGAAAAAGUGCAGGCUAGGAUUUUUCAUGAACGUAAGCAAAAGUCCUAAAGAAAUUUAUAAGUUAAAUUCAAUACUAUGUACAAGGGAUAAUAUAUCAUGGUUAAUUUGGUUUAUAUCAAGAAAUAUUGCAAAGAUUAGUUUAAGAUUCAAAAUCGAUAAAUGCAGGUCACUAAAAUGAAGAGAACAAAGAAAAACACCAUAUGGUUCUCAAUAGAGAUUCAUAUUAAAAAAUCAAUGAAGUGGAAAGAGAAAGAAACUUUUUUAAAUCUAAUUAAGUAUAUCUAUCAAAGACCUUCAGCUAACAUUACAUUUGCUGUGGAAAUAUUAAACUCUUUCCCCUUAAGCUGGCAACGACAUUGAGGCUGCUCAUCACUUCUUUCCAACACUAUCCCAGGGGUCUUUGAUAAUGUAAUAAAGCAAGAAAAAGAAAUAAUGUAUUCAAAGAUGAGAUAAGAAUAAAUAAAUCCACCAGUAUUCACCGUUAACACUGAAAGCACCAAUAUUAUAUAUGAGUAUAAAUAAAAUGCCAUCCAAAUUAUUAUUUUGUGUGAGGAAAACAGGCUUGAGAAAAUAGUACUGAAA